Molecule: ribosomal RNA, 741 nt
Filed under: Thauera sp. HPC 1038
Lineage: Bacteria; Pseudomonadati; Pseudomonadota; Betaproteobacteria; Rhodocyclales; Zoogloeaceae
Description: bacterial SSU rRNA
Rfam family: Bacterial small subunit ribosomal RNA
Source: RNAcentral
GAAUCGCUGCGCGGUAUGCUUUAGCCUGCACGUCGAACGGCGGCACGGGCUUCGGCCUGGUGGCGAGUGGCGAACGGGUGAGUAAUGCAUCGGAACGUGCCCAUGUCGUGGGGGAUAACGUAGCGAAAGCUACGCUAAUACCGCAUACGCCCUGAGGGGGAAAGCGGGGGAUUCUUCGGAACCUCGCGCGAUUGGAGCGGCCGAUGUCGGAUUAGCUAGUAGGUGAGGUAAAGGCUCACCUAGGCGACGAUCCGUAGCGGGUCUGAGAGGAUGAUCCGCCACACUGGGACUGAGACACGGCCCAGACUCCUACGGGAGGCAGCAGUGGGGAAUUUUGGACAAUGGGGGCAACCCUGAUCCAGCCAUGCCGCGUGAGUGAAGAAGGCCUUCGGGUUGUAAAGCUCUUUCGGCCGGGAAGAAAUCGGCGACUCUAACAUAGUCGCUGGAUGACGGUACCGGACUAAGAAGCACCGGCUAACUACGUGCCAGCAGCCGCGGUAAUACGUAGGGUGCGAGCGUUAAUCGGAAUUACUGGGCGUAAAGCGUGCGCAGGCGGUUUUGUAAGACAGAUGUGAAAUCCCCGGGCUUAACCUGGGAACUGCGUUUGUGACUGCAAGGCUAGAGUACGGCAGAGGGGGGUGGAAUUCCACGUGUAGCAGUGAAAUGCGUAAGAUGUGGAGGAACACCGAUGGCGAAGGCAGCCCCCUGGGCCUGUACUGACGCUCAUGCACGAAAGCGUGG